This 517-nucleotide ribosomal RNA is filed under the name uncultured bacterium. RNAcentral's name for it is "bacterial SSU rRNA". It matches the Rfam family "Bacterial small subunit ribosomal RNA", at positions 355 to 864 of the family's 1533-position model. The record is from RNAcentral.
UGGGGAAUAUUGGACAAUGGGGGCAACCCUGAUCCAGCCAUCCCGCGUGUGUGAAGAAGGCUUUCGGGUUGUAAAGCACUUUCAGUGAGGAGGAAGGCUCAAAAGCUAAUACCUUUUGGGAUUGACGUUACUCACAGAAGAAGCACCGGCUAACUCCGUGCCAGCAGCCGCGGUAAUACGGAGGGUGCAAGCGUUAAUCGGAAUUACUGGGCGUAAAGCGCGCGUAGGUGGUUUGGUAAGCGAGAUGUGAAAGCCCCGGGCUUAACCUGGGAACGGCAUUUCGAACUGCCAGGCUAGAGUGUGGUAGAGGGUAGUGGAAUUUCCUGUGUAGCGGUGAAAUGCGUAGAUAUAGGAAGGAACACCAGUGGCGAAGGCGGCUACCUGGACCAACACUGACACUGAGGUGCGAAAGCGUGGGGAGCAACCAGGAUUAGAUACCCUGGUAGUCCACCCCGUAAUCGAUGUCAGCUACCCGUUGGGGAUCUUGAAUCCUUAGUGGCGCAGCUUUCGCGCUGAA